CCUACGGGAGGCAGCAGUGGGGAAUAUUGGGCAAUGGGCGCAAGCCUGACCCAGCAACGCCGCGUGAAGGAAGAAGGCUUUCGGGUUGUAAACUUCUUUUAAGAGGGAAGAGCAGAAGACGGUACCUCUUGAAUAAGCCACGGCUAACUACGUGCCAGCAGCCGCGGUAAUACGUAGGUGGCAAGCGUUGUCCGGAUUUACUGGGUGUAAAGGGCGUGUAGCCGGGCUGACAAGUCAGAGGUGAAAUCCGGGGGCUCAACCCACGAACUGCAUUUGAAACUGUUGGUCUUGUGUAUCGGAGAGGCAGGCGGAAGUCCUAGGGUAGCGGUGAAAUGCGUAGAUAUUAGGAGGAACACCAGUGGCGAAGGCGGCCUGCUGGACGACAACUGACGGUGAGGCGCGAAAGCGUGGGGAGCAAACAGGAUUAGAUACCCGAGUAGUC
Molecule: ribosomal RNA, 442 nt
Filed under: uncultured bacterium
Lineage: Bacteria
Description: partial 16S ribosomal RNA
Rfam family: Bacterial small subunit ribosomal RNA
Source: RNAcentral